CUCUAGAGCUAAUACAUGCAACUAUGCCCUGACCCGCAAGGGGAUGGGUGCACUUAUUAGAUCAGAAGCCAACCGGGCAUCAGUCGCAAGGCUGGUGUCUGUUGUUUUUCUGGUGACUCUGGAUAAUUGUUACAGAUCGCAGUCGGCCAUGAGUCGGC
This 158-nucleotide ribosomal RNA is filed under the name Eubothrium salvelini. RNAcentral's name for it is "partial 18S ribosomal RNA". Lineage: Eukaryota; Metazoa; Platyhelminthes; Cestoda; Bothriocephalidea; Triaenophoridae. The record is from RNAcentral.